This 909-nucleotide long non-coding RNA is filed under the name Medicago truncatula (barrel medic). RNAcentral's name for it is "lncRNA gene40698". Lineage: Eukaryota; Viridiplantae; Streptophyta; Magnoliopsida; Fabales; Fabaceae. The record is from RNAcentral.
CAAGACUUUUACAUUUUUUUUCUCUACAUCUAUAUAACAUGAAUGAUGAAUGAGAUUUUACAAUAUAAAAAUUGUUUGUCAUCAACUUCCUCCACCAAAAUCACCCCAUCCAGCUCCUCCUCCAUCUCCACCAUGGCCUCCUCCAUCUCCACCAUGGUCUCCUCCGGCUUCCCCAAGAUCACCGCAUAGUGAGAAACCUUCACAGCAACUUACCAAAUAAAAACUCUUUCUUCUAUUCAUCUUAGUUUGCUUAGAAUCUUGAGGUCCUUUAUAGCUUUGAGAAACAUUAUUACUCAAAUAUUUAUUUUGUUUCUUCUUUCGUCCAAAGCAAAAACACCCCAUAAUAACCUGUUUCUGAAUUCUCUAUGUAGUUUUGUUUCUCAAUUUUAUGAAAGAUUGAAAUCAAAGGCAUGGCCUUUGCUAAAUAUAUAGGUGAUUAAAAUAUGGAUGUAUGAACAAUUCUUUGUCCGUGUAAGGCUUGAUCAACAAUUAAAAUCAGUAUGUUUAUUUUUUAUUCUUCCAAUUUUUUUGACUUGGUAGUUAAGACUAAGAAUUUUUAUUUUUUCAAGAAACUUUUUUUUAUUCUUUCAAGUUGGUACUACGCGAUUACUUGUAGAAUGUUUAUGGUUAAGACUAAGAGGACAAUUAAGACCAAAAGAGGUCUUCACCAUAUCAAUAUAAUGUGUAUAUUUAGUUUUCCAAUAAUUUUUAUUGGAUCUCUUCCGUGUAAACCGAAUAUUUUUUACGUGCAACUGCAGAGACUAAUAUGAUAGAACCACAAUAUAUGAUAAAAUUCUCUCUCGGUACAUAUUUUUUUUAAAUCUAAAUAUUCAAAUUAAAAACAUAAAUAUUGAAGCUUUAAACACAAUAAGGGGCUUUUAGUCUCUUUGUAUAUAUAGUGACCAAAAG